AUGCAAUCGAUGAACGGGAUAGUAGUGUGCCUGAUCUAGUCUCAGCGAGCCGGGAAUGGUGGAAACCGGUACAGAUCAGCCCAUGAAGCGCACCCGGGAGAUGGACUUCUGAAUCUACAGUAGGAAGCCCCGGCUGAAGACCGUUAUCUUAUGAGCGGCUAAACAGAGGUUUAGCAACUAGAGUGGUACCGCGAGCGCUAAUCAAGCCUUCGUCUCUUUU
RNAcentral lists this non-coding RNA (220 nucleotides) under Paenibacillus sp. RNAcentral's name for it is "T-box sequence". It matches the Rfam family "T-box leader". From Rfam's summary of the family: Uncharged tRNA acts as the effector for transcription antitermination of genes in the T-box leader family. The record is from RNAcentral. Lineage: Bacteria; Bacillati; Bacillota; Bacilli; Caryophanales; Paenibacillaceae.